UCUUUUAAUUGGAGGCUUGAAUGAAUGGUUGGACGAGGGACAGACUGUCUCCUUUGUGUGAUUUGAAUUUAACUUUUGAGUGAAAAGGCUCAAAUUAUUUAGUGGGACGAUAAGACCCUAUAAAACUUGAUAUAAGUGAAUCUUGAUUUGUGAUUUGUGUGAAAAAUAGUGUUGCUUUACUUAUAUUUUGCUGGGGCGGCAUAGAUAUAAAAUGUAACUGUCUGUUAAAUUUAAUAGUGUUAAUUAGUUUUUGAUCCUUCCUUGUGGAUUAGAAGAAUAAGUUACUUUAGGGAUAACAGCGUGAUUUUCUUUGAGAGUUCUUAUCGACAAGAGUAGUUGCGACCUCGAUGUUGAAUUAAAAUUUCAGCUAGGUGUAGCCGUUUAGCUGGUGGGUCUGUUCGACCUUUAAAAUUUUACAUGAUUUGAG
RNAcentral lists this ribosomal RNA (427 nucleotides) under Macrobrachium hancocki. RNAcentral describes it as "partial 16S ribosomal RNA". It matches the Rfam family "Bacterial large subunit ribosomal RNA", at positions 1972 to 2609 of the family's 2925-position model. The record is from RNAcentral. Lineage: Eukaryota; Metazoa; Arthropoda; Malacostraca; Decapoda; Palaemonidae.